This 107-nucleotide small nuclear RNA is filed under the name Mandrillus leucophaeus (drill). Lineage: Eukaryota; Metazoa; Chordata; Mammalia; Primates; Cercopithecidae. The record is from RNAcentral.
GUGCUCGCUUUGGCAGCACACAUACUAAAAUUAGAAUGAUACAGAGAAGAUGAGCAUGGCCUCUGCACAAGGAUGACAGGCAAAUUCGUGAAGUGUUUUAUAUUUUU